Long non-coding RNA from Saccostrea echinata, 1102 nucleotides. RefSeq lists it as uncharacterized. The record is from RefSeq and is a predicted model, not a curated record. Lineage: Eukaryota; Metazoa; Mollusca; Bivalvia; Ostreida; Ostreidae. The transcript has 2 exons.
AAAGUAAUAGUCAGAUAUGGAAAAAUCCUUUCCGGCCCAUAACUAGAAAACUACAAGACUUACAAUCAUCAAACUUGGACAGUUUAUGCAUCUUAGGUAUAAGGUGUGUCGCGACCUAUUUCAAGGUCACUGUGACCUUUAAUUUAAGUGAAAUUUUAAAAAAAAAUGUGUCUUUUUACUAUUCAUUUACACAUCCCAAAUAAUGUAAGAGUAUUGCACUGUCCUUAUUAAAAAAGUGUUAAAUCAAGAAAAUACUUAUUUUUUUAAGCAUACACUUGACAGCAAUCUAUAACAAAUAUAAUGUAUGUUAGAAAAAUCCAACCUCUUCCAUGAGUGUAAUUAUCAAGCACUGGUCAAGAAGAUUUUUGAUAACAGAAAAUUGCAUGUCAAAUUAGAGAGAAAUUAAUGAGUUUAGUGUGAGGAGCUAACUGGUAGAGCAUCUCUGAUCAAGCAGGUGUUAUCUGUAUCCCUUGGGUAUUGGGCAAAUGGGUUAAAGCCUGUUGGAUUAAAAAUAGCUCUUGUUGGCUAGCCUAAGUUUUAAAAUGAAUUUGAUGAAAAGUAAUUAAAACUAAUUUGAUAUUGCAUAAUAGACUAAUCUGAUAUAAUAUUAUUAAUUUAAAAACUAAUUUUAUGGGGUGGGGUGGAAUCAGCAUGUCCAUAUGAAUUACAUAUUAAAACCUGUCGGACAUUAAAUCUCAACAAAAAAAAAUCUUUGAGUAUUUUAUAAAUUAUAUGUUUUAAAAAAAUUUUGUGGUAGAUAGUGCAGACCCAUUCAUCUCUUGGUAGUAAUGAGUAGACAAGCAUCCAGUUACUUUUAGAUUAAUUAAUGAGUUCAAUGUAGGAAGGCUAGCUCAGUCUUAUCUGUAUCCUUUGGGGAUUAGACAGAAGAACUGCUGGUCAGUUUAUAGCAUAUUUGAUUUGAUGGCCUGCCUUUUAUUUUCAAAAUUAAUUUGGUAUAGAUUAAGGUGUUAAGACUAAUUUGAUAUUGUUUAAUAUGAUGGGCAUUUGACAAGGUCUAACACAACCAGCAUAGAAAUCUAUCAAUGAUGUAAUAUUUAUUAUAAUUAAUGCCUACAUCACAGGGGAUGGAUAAAUACUUUAA